UCAAAUGAAUUGACGGGGGCCCGCACAAGCGGUGGAGCAUGUGGUUUAAUUCGAUGCAACGCGAAGAACCUUACCUGGUCUUGACAUCCACGGAAAUUUUCAGAGAUGAGAAUGUGCCUUCGGGAACCGUGAGACAGGUGCUGCAUGGCUGUCGUCAGCUCGUGUUGUGAAAUGUUGGGUUAAGUCCCGCAACGAGCGCAACCCUUAUCCUUUGUUGCCAGCG
RNAcentral lists this ribosomal RNA (223 nucleotides) under Salmonella enterica subsp. enterica serovar Muenchen. Its description in RNAcentral is "partial 16S ribosomal RNA". It matches the Rfam family "Bacterial small subunit ribosomal RNA", at positions 901 to 1123 of the family's 1533-position model. The record is from RNAcentral. Lineage: Bacteria; Pseudomonadati; Pseudomonadota; Gammaproteobacteria; Enterobacterales; Enterobacteriaceae.